CCUACGGGAGGCAGCAGUGGGGAAUUUUGGACAAUGGGCGCAAGCCUGAUCCAGCAAUGCCGCGUGCGGAUGAAGGCCUUCGGGUUGUAAACCGGUUUUGUACGGGACGAAAAGGUCUGCCCUAAUACGGUGGGCUCAUGACGGUACCGGAAGAAUAAGCACCGGCUAACUACGUGCCAGCAGCCGCGGUAAU
RNAcentral lists this ribosomal RNA (193 nucleotides) under uncultured beta proteobacterium. RNAcentral's name for it is "partial 16S ribosomal RNA". It matches the Rfam family "Bacterial small subunit ribosomal RNA", at positions 338 to 524 of the family's 1533-position model. Lineage: Bacteria; Pseudomonadati; Pseudomonadota; Betaproteobacteria. The record is from RNAcentral.